AGUGAACGCUGGCGGUAGGCCUAACACAUGCAAGUCGAACGGCAGCACAGGAGAGCUUGCUCUCUGGGUGGCGAGUGGCGGACGGGUGAGGAAUACAUCGGAAUCUACUCUGUCGUGGGGGAUAACGUAGGGAAACUUACGCUAAUACCGCAUACGACCUACGGGUGAAAGCAGGGGACCUUCGGGCCUUGCGCGAUUGAAUGAGCCGAUGUCGGAUUAGCGAGUUGGCGGGGUAAAGGCCCACCAAGGCGACGAUCCGUAGCUGGUCUGAGAGGAUGAUCAGCCACACUGGAACUGAGACACGGUCCAGGCUCCUACGGGAGGCAGCAGUGGGGAAUAUUGGACAAUGGGCGCAAGCCUGAUCCAGCCAUACCGCGUGGGUGAAGAGGGCCUUCGGGUUGUAAAGCCCUUUUGUUGGGAAAGAAAUCCAGCUGGCUAAUACCCGGUUGGGAUGACGGUACCCAAAGAAUAAGCACCGGCUAACUUCGUGCCAGCCGCCGCCGUAA
RNAcentral lists this ribosomal RNA (506 nucleotides) under uncultured bacterium. Its description in RNAcentral is "partial 16S ribosomal RNA". It matches the Rfam family "Bacterial small subunit ribosomal RNA", at positions 29 to 523 of the family's 1533-position model. The record is from RNAcentral.